GAUCAUGGCUCAGGAUGAACGCUAGCGACAGGCUUAACACAUGCAAGUCGAGGGGCAGCGGGGGUAGCGAUACCCGCCGGCGACCGGCGCACGGGUGAGUAACGCGUAUGCAACUUGCCUAUCAGAGGGGGAUAACCCGGCGAAAGUCGGACUAAUACCGCAUGAAGCAGGGAUCCCGCAUGGGAAUAUUUGCUAAAGAUUCAUCGCUGAUAGAUAGGCAUGCGUUCCAUUAGGCAGUUGGCGGGGUAACGGCCCACCAAACCGACGAUGGAUAGGGGGUUCUGAGAGGAAGGUCCCCCACAUUGGAACUGAGACACGGUCCAAACUCCUACGGGAGGCAGCAGUGAGGAAUAUUGGUCAAUGGACGCGAGUCUGAACCAGCCAAGUAGCGUGAAGGAUGACUGCCCUAUGGGUUGUAAACUUCUUUUAUAUGGGAAUAAAGUGGUCCACGUGUGGAUUUUUGUAUGUACCAUAUGAAUAAGGAUCGGCUAACUCCGUG
RNAcentral lists this ribosomal RNA (499 nucleotides) under uncultured bacterium. Its description in RNAcentral is "bacterial SSU rRNA". It matches the Rfam family "Bacterial small subunit ribosomal RNA", at positions 15 to 507 of the family's 1533-position model. The record is from RNAcentral.